UACGGGGGGGGCAAGCGUUGUUCGGAAUUACUGGGCGUAAAGGGCUCGUAGGCGGCCAACUAAGUCGGAUGUGAAAUCCCCGGGCUUAACCUGGGAAUUGCAGCUUAUACUGUCUAACUGGAGUGCAAUAGAGGGUAGUGGAAUUUCCGGUGUAGCGGUGAAAUGCGUAGAUAUCGGAAGGAACACCAGUGGCGAAGGCGGCUACCUGGAUUGACACUGACACUGAGGCGCGAGAGCGUGGGGAGCAAACAGG
RNAcentral lists this ribosomal RNA (253 nucleotides) under uncultured bacterium. Its description in RNAcentral is "partial 16S ribosomal RNA". It matches the Rfam family "Bacterial small subunit ribosomal RNA", at positions 524 to 776 of the family's 1533-position model. The record is from RNAcentral.